This 363-nucleotide long non-coding RNA is filed under the name Gallus gallus (chicken). RNAcentral describes it as "long non-coding RNA NONGGAT002339". The record is from RNAcentral. Lineage: Eukaryota; Metazoa; Chordata; Aves; Galliformes; Phasianidae.
GCUCUGUUAAACUAUCUGCCUUCUGGUACCGCUCGUAGAUAACAGAAGGAAACCUGAGCCCGAAAGGCAAUCCCCCACCUUCUUCCACCUAAUGUAACCCUUUCAGGCUCCUUUGAAGGCAUUUCAUCUUGAAGGGCUGGCUGCUCUCACACACUUUUAUAUCCGCUGGAGUGAUCGAGAAAUCAUGUCUGGUGGAAGAAGUGAGUUUCUGUGCCUUGGAAUGAUCUUGGGCUUUUGGAGCUCCGUGAGUUGGAUGCCUGUUGGAGGCUGCCCGCAUAAAUGUACGUGCAUUGCUUCCAACGUGGAUUGUCAUGGACUAGGACUCAAAACUGUACCGAGGGAUAUUCCCAGGAAUGCUGAGAG